Molecule: ribosomal RNA, 256 nt
Filed under: uncultured bacterium
Lineage: Bacteria
Description: partial 16S ribosomal RNA
Rfam family: Bacterial small subunit ribosomal RNA
Source: RNAcentral
UAAUACAGAGGGGGCAAGCGUUAUUCGGAAUUACUGGGCGUAAAGGGCGCGUAGGCGGUUCUUUAAGUCGGAUGUGCAAUCCCCGAGCUCAACUUGGGAACUGCAUCCGAAACUGGGGAGCUAGAGUGCUGGAGAGGGUGGUGGAAUUCCACGUGUAGCGGUGAAAUGCGUAGAGAUGUGGAGGAACACCAGUGGCGAAGGCGGCCACCUGGACAGUAACUGACGCUGAGGCGCGAAAGUGUGGGUAGCAAACAGG